Molecule: ribosomal RNA, 253 nt
Filed under: uncultured bacterium
Lineage: Bacteria
Description: partial 16S ribosomal RNA
Rfam family: Bacterial small subunit ribosomal RNA
Source: RNAcentral
UACCGAGGGGGCAAGCGUUAUUCGGAAUUAUUGGGCGUAAAGGGCGCGUAGGCGGCUUUGCAAGUGACGGGUGAAAUCCCUCGGCUUAACCGAGGAACUGCCUGUCAAACUGUGAGGCUUGAGACCGGGAGAGGUGAGUGGAAUUCCCAGUGUAGCGGUGAAAUGCGUAGAUAUUGGGAGGAACACCAGUGGCGAAGGCGGCUCACUGGACCGGUACUGACGCUGAUGCGCGAAAGCGUGGGGAGCAAACAGG